UUCAGAAUAGCUUAAUAUAGAAAGCAUUGAUUUUGUAAUUCAAAGAUAUAAUAUUAUUUCUGAAU
RNAcentral lists this transfer RNA (65 nucleotides) under Bulinus truncatus. Its description in RNAcentral is "tRNA-Thr". It matches the Rfam family "tRNA". From Rfam's summary of the family: Transfer RNA (tRNA) molecules are approximately 80 nucleotides in length. Their secondary structure includes four short double-helical elements and three loops (D, anti-codon, and T loops). The record is from RNAcentral. Lineage: Eukaryota; Metazoa; Mollusca; Gastropoda; Planorbidae.